RNAcentral lists this ribosomal RNA (433 nucleotides) under uncultured bacterium. RNAcentral's name for it is "partial 16S ribosomal RNA". It matches the Rfam family "Bacterial small subunit ribosomal RNA", at positions 29 to 507 of the family's 1533-position model. The record is from RNAcentral.
AACGAACGCUGGCGGCAUGCCUAACACAUGCCAGUCGAACGAGACCGUCGGGUCUAGUGGCGCACGGGUGCGUAACGCGUGGGAACCUGCCCUUAAGCUCGGAAUAACUCCCCGAAAGGGGUGCUAAUACCGGAUAAUGUCUUCGGACCAAAGAUUUAUCGCCUUUGGAUGGGCCCGCGUUGGAUUAGCUAGUUGGUAGGGUAAAAGCCUACCAAGGGGACGAUCCAUAGCUGGUCAGAGAGGAUGGUCAGCCACACUGGUACGAGGACACGGCCCAGACUCCUACGGGAGGCAGGCGUGGGGAAUAUAGGAAUAUGGGCGAAAGGCUGAUCCAGCAAUGCCGGGUGAGUGAUGAAGGCCUUAGGGUUGUAAAGCUCUUUUACCCGGGAUGAUAAUGACAGUACCGGGAGAAUAAGCACCGGCUAACUCCGUG